GAAUGGCGUAAUGAUGGCCAGGCUGUCUCCACCCGAGACUCAGUGAAAUUGAACUCGCUGUGAAGAUGCAGUGUACCCGCGGCAAGACGGAAAGACCCCGUGAACCUUUACUAUAGCUUGACACUGAACAUUGAGCCUUGAUGUGUAGGAUAGGUGGGAGGCUUUGAAGUGUGGACGCCAGUCUGCAUGGAGCCGACCUUGAAAUACCACCCUUUAAUGUUUGAUGUUCUAACGUGGACCCGUAAUCCGGGUUGCGGACAGUGUCUGGUGGGUAGUUUGACUGGGGCGGUCUCCUCCUAAAGAGUAACGGAGGAGCACGAAGGUUGGCUAAUCCUGGUCGGACAUCAGGAGGUUAGUGCAAUGGCAUAAGCCAGCUUGACUGCGAGCGUGACGGCGCGAGCAGGUGCGAAAGCAGGUCAUAGUGAUCCGGUGGUUCUGAAUGGAAGGGCCAUCGCUCAACGGAUAAAAGGUACUCCGGGGAUAACAGGCUGAUACCGCCCAAGAGUUCAUAUCGACGGCGGUGUUUGGCACCUCGAUGUCGGCUCAUCACAUCCUGGGGCUGAAGUAGGUCCCAAGGGUAUGGCUGUUCGCCAUUUAAAGUGGUACGCGAGCUGGGUUUAGAACGUCGUGAGACAGUUCGGUCCCUA
RNAcentral lists this ribosomal RNA (647 nucleotides) under Escherichia coli. RNAcentral describes it as "partial 23S ribosomal RNA". It matches the Rfam family "Bacterial large subunit ribosomal RNA", at positions 1994 to 2640 of the family's 2925-position model. The record is from RNAcentral. Lineage: Bacteria; Pseudomonadati; Pseudomonadota; Gammaproteobacteria; Enterobacterales; Enterobacteriaceae.